RNAcentral lists this long non-coding RNA (526 nucleotides) under Gouania willdenowi (blunt-snouted clingfish). RNAcentral describes it as "lncRNA (ENSGWIG00000012006.1)". The record is from RNAcentral. Lineage: Eukaryota; Metazoa; Chordata; Actinopteri; Blenniiformes; Gobiesocidae.
AGCAGAAACAGGCAAACACGUAUACACUGUGCUGCUGGAGGAUGCGAUGCAUAAACAGAGCAGAAUGCACAAUGGACAGAUUCAGAGAACAAUCUGCAGCAGUGUGAGAAGAAGCUCUGCUAAAGGAACACAUUAGCUGCUGCUGUCUGUUGGUGUGGCCCAGCUUUUCUCUGUUUACACAUAAUGGUUGGGCUCCAUUAUAACCUGUAGAGAAAAUAACACAAAUAAGACAUGGAAAUACUUCAAGAACAGAUUCUGCAUUUAUUCCAAAACAAAACCAGCAUGAGAGCGAGACUAACUCACUGAUUCAUCUCUCUCUCCAUCUUUAGACUUUAAAUAUUUACAUGCCAUGUCUGGUUGAUAAGACAAAUGAGAACCAGCACUGACUAACAUUUGACUUCAUGGUUGCCCCAUGCAGAAGCCUUGGACGCAGAGUUUCAAGCUCAAAUACUAAAGAUAUUUAUCAGAUUUCUUUAUAAGCUUGAAUGAAAACAAUAAAACAGAUAUAAGUCUGAUAAUUGGUGCA